This 239-nucleotide ribosomal RNA is filed under the name Symbiodinium sp. clade D. Its description in RNAcentral is "partial Eukaryotic large subunit ribosomal RNA". It matches the Rfam family "Eukaryotic large subunit ribosomal RNA", at positions 2400 to 2590 of the family's 3401-position model. The record is from RNAcentral. Lineage: Eukaryota; Dinophyceae; Suessiales; Symbiodiniaceae.
GGGAAAGAAGACCCUGUUGAGCUUUACUCUAGUUCGAGUUUGUGAAGUGGCUUUGGGGGUGUAGCAUAAGGGGGAGCUCCGGCGCCAUUGAAAUACCCCUACCCCGAACGCUACUUUACUUAUUUAAUUGGUUAGAAAUGCCGGCUGUGCUCUGUGGCGUGUAAGCGUUUACAUCUCAGUCUUUGGUUUACCUUCUAGAAUUAAGAUGAGUAUCACACGUCUGAGGGCUCAUGGGUCAU